CUAUAGCGUAGUGAAUCAUCGAAUCUUUGAACGCAUAUUGCACUUUUAAGUAUUCUUAAAAGUAUAUUUAUUUGAGUGUCAUUUAUAACAUCUCAUAAAAAGUAUUUUUAUGGUAAAUGAUUAUUUAAAUUACUCUUUUUUAAAGAGGAAAUAUAAAUAAUUUAAAUAGAUAACUUUUCAAAAAUAAGAAUAUUUCUUUUAUAUUCUAUUUUAUAAAAUAAUAUAUCUAAAAUGAUAGUAAGAAUAGAAAUAUUCUCUUUCAUUUUUAUUAUUAUUUUAAGAAAUGAAUGAAAGAAACCUUGUUUUAUAAAGAAAGGAAGAAGAAAACUUUACAUAUAAAGUCUCUUUUUAUGACCUCAAAUUAAAUAAGAUUACCCGCUGAAUUUAAGCAUAUCAAUAAGCGGAGG
This 407-nucleotide ribosomal RNA is filed under the name uncultured Chaetothyriales. Its description in RNAcentral is "eukaryotic LSU rRNA". The stretch from base 1 to 81 matches the Rfam family "5.8S ribosomal RNA", at positions 72 to 154 of the family's 154-position model. The record is from RNAcentral. Lineage: Eukaryota; Fungi; Ascomycota; Eurotiomycetes; Chaetothyriales.